GACGAACGCUGGCGGCGUGCUUAACACAUACAAGUCGAACGGAAAGGCCCUGCUUUUGUGGGGUGCUCGAGUGGCGAACGGGUGAGUAACACGUGAGUAACCUGCCCUUGACUUUGGGAUAACUUCAGGAAACUGGGGCUAAUACCGGAUAGGAGCUCCUGCUGCAUGGUGGGGGUUGGAAAGUUUCGGCGGUUGGGGAUGGACUCGCGGCUUAUCAGCUUGUUGGUGGGGUAGUGGCUUACCAAGGCUUUGACGGGUAGCCGGCCUGAGAGGGUGACCGGCCACAUUGGGACUGAGAUACGGCCCAGACUCCUACGGGAGGCAGCAGUGGGGAAUAUUGCACAAUGGGCGGAAGCCUGAUGCAGCAACGCCGCGUGCGGGAUGACGGCCUUCGGGUUGUAAACCGCUUUCGCCUGUGACGAAGCGUGAGUGACAGUAAUGGGUAAAGAAGCACCGGCUAACUACGUG
Molecule: ribosomal RNA, 468 nt
Filed under: uncultured bacterium
Lineage: Bacteria
Description: partial 16S ribosomal RNA
Rfam family: Bacterial small subunit ribosomal RNA
Source: RNAcentral